UUCACUGCAACUUGUUAUUGUGUUUAGAUUUUUGCUGCGUAGUGUAGUGGGUAGACUUUGAAGUUGUGUUUUCGGACAUAAUGGAGUCAACAAUGAAACACCCAUCUUCAAAAAUUUAAAUUCUAACCUUUACGGAAAAAACGUAUUGGGACAGUGGCUGGUGGGCAGUUUUGGUGGGGCGCUAGCCUCCCAAAAGGUAACGGAGGCGUUCAUUAAGGUCAGCUAGGCACGGAUGGAAAUCGUGCUGGUAGUGUAAAGGCACAAGCUGGCUUAACUGCAAGACCUACAAGUCGCGCAGAUGCGAAAGCAGGACUUAGUGAACCGAUCAUUCUUUGUAGAACGGUGAGAGAUCAUCGGAUAAAAGCUACUCCGGGGAUAACAGGCUGGUUUGGUCCAAGAGUUCUUAUCGACGACCAAGUUCGGCACCUUAACACAUUGGGGUGCCAUAUCAGAAAUGAUAUUCAGCCGUUUUAAUAUAUGAAAAAUUUGAGCCAAUCAUAUAUUAAAAUUAAAAAAUGGCUUAUAACGGUGGACUCCAUGUUAUAAUAAACUUUGAAUUACGAAAUGAUAGAUGCUAGGCUUGUCCAAGCAACCGACUGAGCUGUAUUUAAUAAUACAGCGAUGGAGGGAGCGAAGGGCAUAACGACGCAGAUGGCGUUUUGUAAUUCAAAGAAUAUAAAUAUUAUGGACAAUACCGUGGGAAGUCUAACGAAGUUUGAGCGACAAAUUAUUAUUGGAUCGUUAUUGGGAGAUGGGUAUAUGAGAAUUAUGCCCGGCAGAUCUAAUGCAUUUUUGGAAAU
Molecule: ribosomal RNA, 800 nt
Filed under: Parcubacteria group bacterium GW2011_GWE2_37_8
Lineage: Bacteria
Description: bacterial LSU rRNA
Rfam family: Bacterial large subunit ribosomal RNA (bases 1-450)
Source: RNAcentral